This 497-nucleotide ribosomal RNA is filed under the name uncultured bacterium. RNAcentral describes it as "partial 16S ribosomal RNA". It matches the Rfam family "Bacterial small subunit ribosomal RNA", at positions 28 to 507 of the family's 1533-position model. The record is from RNAcentral.
GAUGAACGCUGGCGGCGUGCCUAAUACAUGCAAGUCGAGCGAACAGAUGAGGAGCUUGCUCCUCUGACGUUAGCGGCGGACGGGUGAGUAACACGUGGAUAACCUACCUAUAAGACUGGGAUAACUUCGGGAAACCGGCGCUAAUACCGGAUAAUCUAUUGAACCGCAUGGUUCAAUAGUGAAAGACGGUUUUGCUGUCACUUAUAGAUGGAUCCGCGCCGCAUUAGCUAGUUGGUAAGGUAACGGCUUACCAAGGCAACGAUGCGUAGCCGACCUGAGAGGGUGAUAGGCCACGCUAGAACUGAGACACGGUCCAGACUACUACGGGAGGCAGCAGUAGGGAAUCUUCCGCAAUGGGCGAAAAUCUGAAGGAGAAGCCCGGCGUGAGUGAUAAAGGUCUUCGGAUCGUAAAACUCUGUUAUUAGGGAAGAACAAAUGUGUAAGUAACUAUGCACGUCUUGACGGUACCUAAUCAGAAAGCAACGGCUAACUACGUG